This 542-nucleotide ribosomal RNA is filed under the name uncultured bacterium. Its description in RNAcentral is "bacterial SSU rRNA". It matches the Rfam family "Bacterial small subunit ribosomal RNA", at positions 777 to 1317 of the family's 1533-position model. The record is from RNAcentral.
AAUAGAUACCCGGGUAGUCCACGCCGUAAACGAUGUCGACUUGGAGGUUGUUCCCUUGAGGAGUGGCUUCCGGAGCUAACGCGUUAAGUCGACCGCCUGGGGAGUACGGCCGCAAGGUUAAAACUCAAAUGAAUUGACGGGGGCCCGCACAAGCGGUGGAGCAUGUGGUUUAAUUCGAUGCAACGCGAAGAACCUUACCUACUCUUGACAUCCAGAGAACUUUCCAGAGAUGGAUUGGUGCCUUCGGGAACUCUGAGACAGGUGCUGCAUGGCUGUCGUCAGCUCGUGUUGUGAAAUGUUGGGUUAAGUCCCGCAACGAGCGCAACCCUUAUCCUUUGUUGCCAGCGGUUCGGCCGGGAACUCAAAGGAGACUGCCAGUGAUAAACUGGAGGAAGGUGGGGAUGACGUCAAGGUCAUCAUGGCCCUUACGAGUAGGGCUACACACGUGCUACAAUGGCGUAAUACAAAGAGAAGCGACCUCGCGAGAGCAAGCGGACCUCAUAAAGUACGUCGUAGUCCGGAUUGGAGUCUGCAACUCGACU